RNAcentral lists this ribosomal RNA (453 nucleotides) under uncultured bacterium. Its description in RNAcentral is "partial 16S ribosomal RNA". It matches the Rfam family "Bacterial small subunit ribosomal RNA", at positions 341 to 792 of the family's 1533-position model. The record is from RNAcentral.
ACGGAAGGCAGCAGUGAGGAAUAUUGGUCAAUGGACGUGAGUCUGAACCAGCCAAGUAGCGUGAGGGAUGACGGCCAUAUGGUUGUAAACCUCUUUUGCGAGGGAAUAAAGUGCGUCACGUGUGGUGCAUUGCAUGUACCUUUCGAAUAAGGAUCGGCUAACUCCGUGCCAGCAGCCGCGGUAAUACGGCGGAUCCGAGCGUUAUCCGGAUUUAUUGGGUUUAAAGGGAGCGUAGGCGGGAAGUCAAGUCAGCUGUGAAAUGUAGGCGCUCAACGUUUGCACUGCAGUUGAAACUGGUUGUCUUGAGUGCGUAAGAGGCAGGUGGAAUUUGUCGUGUAGCGGUGAAAUGCUUAGAUAUGACGAAGAACUCCGAUUGCGAAGGCAGCCUGCUGGGCCGCAACUGACGCUGAAGCUCGAAGGUGCGGGUAUCAAACAGGAUUAGAUACCCUGGUA